Molecule: non-coding RNA, 406 nt
Organism: Dermacentor andersoni
Lineage: Eukaryota; Metazoa; Arthropoda; Arachnida; Ixodida; Ixodidae
Source: RefSeq, a predicted model, not a curated record
GCACCAUUUUCGCCGCAUCGGCGACGACAAGAGGCCAUUCUCGAAGAAGCACUCGGCGGGACACGCACAAGCGGAACCGCCGGCAUCGCUCCUUCGUUUCCCCCAAAGCGCUGCAGGGAGUCUGGGCGCAAGUUUCUUCGAAUUCCCAAAGACGACAGGCCUUUUUUUUAGAAACGCGUGGUGAAGAUACCGGAAUUCACAUCGUGGUGCACCUAAAUAACACUGCCUCAAUGCUUCCAAGCAACUUGGAGACACCAACAAAACCACCCUGAGGAUGAGCGUCUGAAGAUUCGCACCACACGUGUCCGGGGAGGCGUCCAACCACACCCAUGUGUAAGUGGAAGUAAUGUGGCGUCACCAACUGCCGCUUCGAACAGCGCGAACGCGAACUCCUGUCGAGGUGCCG